CUGUCUUCAGUCUUUGACAGUUAGCAUGCAGGCUGGGUCUGUGCCACCCCUCAGCUGGCUGCUGUAGUUGUAGACGGAAUCUUCUCAUCUCAGAAAGGAUUUGGAGAUCUAUUCUGGGGAAACCCCAUCAUAAAAUCUCAGCACAGUGAUAUUCAGGUGUAAAGAUAAGGUAGGAGCUGGGGCCAGCUGAGAGCAACCAGCAUCUAGGCUCAUCGCUCCUGAAGAAGGCCCACAUGGAUAUAAAUAGGUGGUGUUUACAUCUUACCAUCUUACUGGACUCUUCCUGUGAGGCUCUUCACAUCCCUUUAAGAAGAGCAGCAUUUCCCUCGUGUGAAUGUAGAGGUAAGCUCAGCUCCCUGUUUGCCGGGAGUAUCUAAAGCAGUGGUUCUUACCCUGUGGGUUGAGACCCUCAGAGGGGUCGCAUCUCAGAUGAUAUCCUGCAGUCAGAGAUCCUGCACAUCAGAGAUCCUGCAAUCAGAGACCCUGCACAUCAGAGAUCCUGCAGUCAGAGAUCCUCCAGUCAGAGAUCCUGCACAUCAGAGACCCUGCACAUCAGAGAUCCUGGCUGAUGCUUACCACAAUGCCAAAGGAACUGUAUUAAAGGGUUGCAGCAUUAGGAAGGUUAAAAAUCACUGGAAAAAGGCAAAUGUCUGAACAAUAACUGUUUGUCUUUGAAGGCCACAUAGUCCAGUAAAACGUGACAUUGACCCAUUUCAGAUGACUUUGACCCGACUUGUGAAAUAUUAACCUUGACAUUAUUGUGGUACAGCACAUUCUCCUCUGAGGGCCACUACCCACUCUAAAGAUACUCUGAAUCAAUACAAGUCGAAGGAAACUUGCCCAGAAAAACACACAUGCGACUUCCAGGUCCUCCUUGAAAGGAGUCAAGGGAAGAUGAAGAAUUUUGCUUCUUUCAACCAUAAAUAUUAGUUUCUUUACCCCAU
RNAcentral lists this long non-coding RNA (944 nucleotides) under Mus caroli (Ryukyu mouse). RNAcentral's name for it is "lncRNA (MGP_CAROLIEiJ_G0005843.1)". Lineage: Eukaryota; Metazoa; Chordata; Mammalia; Rodentia; Muridae. The record is from RNAcentral.